CCCAGCGACCCCAUGGACUGCAGCCCACCAGGCUCCUCCGUCCAUGGGAUUUUCCAGGCAAGAGUACGGGAGUGGGGUGCCAUUGCCUUCUCCAUCUCUCUAUUCCAGUAGUUCCCAAACUUUGCUCGUUCAUCAUGUUCACCUUCUUUGAACAUGCUUUAUUUGCUGAUAUUUUUCUUUAAAUUGAUUCAUUUAAAAUCAAAUGCACUGAUUUAAAAAAAGAGAAUGCAUUCUUAUUGGCUAAUGAAAAACUAUUUUCACUUUCCAUAAACAGAAGUUUAAAAAAUAAAAGCCUAAAUAUCUGAAGAAGUUUGUCCAUAUACCGUGUCAAAUCAUUUGGUGUUCCCCAGUAGGUAGGUGUUGGUAAAGAAUCUGCCCACAAGGCAGGAGACACAGAUUCGAUGCCUGGGUCAGGAAGAUCCUCUGGAGAAGGGAAUGGCAACCCACUCCAGUAUUCUUGCCUGAAGAAUCCUAUGGACAGAGAAGCCUGGCGAGCUACAGUCCUUGGGGUUGAAAAGAGUCGGACAUGACUGAGCAACUAAUGCUUCACUUCACUUCAGAUGUUAAGUUGAUUAAUAAGCUUCAAGAUCCUACUUGCUACAAUGAAGAUGGAAGACCCGCAUGCUGCAACUAAGUCUCGGCUCAGUCAAAAAAAACCCCAGAGCUCUCACAUGCUUCCUGUUCCCAGAGGGGUGACGCUGCCUUCCUCAACAUGGCCACGAGGCCUCCAGGCCCACUUAAUUCUGACAGACUUGAAUUCGAGCACAACGCGAGGCCUUCCUUGGUCAGGACCUCCCCUCACGUUCUGGGACCCUCGGAUUUCACGAGUGGAUGGCACGAGACAAAACGGCUCCUCUUCUCACUCUCUCCUCCCUUGCCCUCUGCAGACUGGGUGUCCUGCUUGACUUUCAAAACACUGCAAAGUUUGCUUUAACCAUUUUACAAUCUAGGAGGCUGGUCUACACCACCUCUAGCCCUUCCUGCCAACAUCCAGGAGUAGACCUCCACCUUCAUCUCACCCCUGGAGUUUCUCUCAAGCCAUAGAAGGACCCAGGGUGAGGGGCCCUUGAGCCGGCCUCACACUGCACCUUGCGACCUGGGGACCCAGCUAAGCCAAGUGCAGC
This 1124-nucleotide long non-coding RNA is filed under the name Bos indicus x Bos taurus (hybrid cattle). Its description in RNAcentral is "lncRNA (ENSBIXG00005029106.1)". Lineage: Eukaryota; Metazoa; Chordata; Mammalia; Artiodactyla; Bovidae. The record is from RNAcentral.